RNAcentral lists this ribosomal RNA (253 nucleotides) under uncultured bacterium. RNAcentral describes it as "partial 16S ribosomal RNA". It matches the Rfam family "Bacterial small subunit ribosomal RNA", at positions 524 to 776 of the family's 1533-position model. The record is from RNAcentral.
UACGUAGGGGGCAAGCGUUGUCCGGAAUCAUUGGGCGUAAAGAGCGUGUAGGCGGUCCGGUAAGUCGGUUGUGAAAGUCGGGGGCUCAACCCUCGGAGGCCGACCGAUACUGUCGGGCUAGAGUCCGGAAGAGGCGAGUGGAAUUCCUGGUGUAGCGGUGAAAUGCGCAGAUAUCAGGAGGAACACCGAUGGCGAAAGCAGCUCUCUGGGACGGUACUGACGCUGAGGCGCGAAAGCGUGGGGAGCGAACAGG